Molecule: ribosomal RNA, 274 nt
Filed under: uncultured bacterium
Lineage: Bacteria
Description: partial 16S ribosomal RNA
Rfam family: Bacterial small subunit ribosomal RNA
Source: RNAcentral
CUACGGAGGGUGCAAGCGUUGUUCGGAAUCACUGGGCGUAAAGGGCGCGCAGGCGGUUUGGUAAGUCAGAUGUGAAAGCCCAUGGCUCAACCAUGGAAGUGCAUUUGAAACUGUCAGACUUGAGUACUAGAGGGGAAAGUGGAAUUCCCGGUGUAGAGGUGAAAUUCGUAGAUAUCGGGAGGAAUACCGGUGGCGAAGGCGACUUUCUGGCUAGAUACUGACGCUGAGGCGCGAAAGCGUGGGGAGCAAACAGGAUUAGAUACCCCAGUAGUCC